GAAGGUGACGGUGGAGGAGGUGACUUGUAGUAGUAGGGUGGAGGUGGUGAUGGGGAUGGUGGAAGAGGAGACUUGUAGUAGUAGGGUGGUGGAGGAGAUGGCGAUGGAGGUGGUGGUGACUUGUAGUAGUAUGGUGGAGGGGGAGAAGGCGAUGGAGGAGGAGGAGACUUGUAGUAGUAGGGUGGUGGAGGUGAUGGUGAUGGUGGUGGUGGUGACUUGUAGUUGUAGGGUGGUGGAGGUGAUGGAGAUGGUGGUGGUGGAGACUUGUAAUAGUAUGGUGGAGGGGGAGAUGGCGAUGGUGGCGGUGGAGAUUUGUAAUAGUAUACAGGUGCAGGUUUUGGUGAUGGUGGAGGUGGAGACUUGUAGUAAUAAGUAGGUGGGGGAGACUUAGUUGGUGGUGGCGGAGAUUUAUAAUAGUAAGGUGGUGGAGGCGAUGGUGACGGGGGUGGUGGUGAUUUAUAAUAGUAUACUGGUGCAGGUUUUGGUGAUGGUGGGGGUGGAGACUUGUAAUAAUAAUGAGUUGGUGGAGACUUAGUUGGUGAUGGUGGAGACUUAUAAAUAUAUGUCGGGGUUGGGGGAGGUGGCGAUUUGUACACAUACUUCGGUGAUUGAGGAGGUGGUGACUUAUAAACAUAUGUUGGGGUUGAGGGAGGUGGCGACUUGUACACAUACUUCGGUGAUGGAGGAGGAGGAGAUUUAUAAUAGUAUGGAGCGGGCGUAGGCUUGGGCUUUUGGCAUUCUGCAUAAGGUGUAUUAGAUCCAUAAGCAAAUGGUUUUGCAUAGAGAACAACUUCAUAACUAUUCUUCGAUUUCACUUUAAGGUUAGCACCCCUAAUUCCCCAAUGAAGGUUUGUAGGAAUGCUACACUUUGAAUCCUUUGGAGCAUUAUGGAGUUUAGCCUUGCAAGCCUUUGCUCCAUAUUUGCGAUAUUCAAAUCCUUCAACCGCGAUGCUAAAUUUGCCAUUGAUCUUUGUGGUACCAUAACUCACAAUUUUCUUGUCACCAGCCUUGCAAGUGACUUCAACAACAGCACCUAAACCAGGAGAAAAUAGAAAUAAUACAUUAAUUAACACCAAAACAAAGAUCUGCUAACAUAUGAUCAUUUAGAUAUUUCCCUUGAAAGAACUAUCUCUGCCCUAUAUUCAUUACAUAAAAUAGUAAAACCUUUUGUCCUAACUUCAUUAUAGUAAAUUUUUAUCCAAAUGAAAACUUAUUUUUCACAGAAUAAAUACUUCUUUCAAGCAAGAACUAACAACUUUCGUUUUCAAUAUCUUUUACUCAAUUGUCACAAUAAUGACUAUAGUUAUUGCCUUAAAAAAAAAAUUUGACGUUUCAAAAUCUUAAUUUUAACUAUACAUGCUGACGACAACAAAAGACGAUCGAAGAUCCAAAUAAAAAGAGACACAUUUAUGAAUUAUGAUAAAAGCAUACGAAAAGCAGCAAAAAGGAGAAUGUAUAACUGGAUAAUUUGUUUUAUGAAAAAUUAAGAGAAAAAAAAGAAGUGUGCAUGGUAUAAAGACUGUGGUACCUUUCAGAUGUUUCUUGCCGUGCGACAUCUCUGGAUUCUUCCAAUUAUAGCAUCUGAAACAAUAUACUUUUCCGACAACUUUGACCACGAAUUGAUGAUGUGGAGGAUAGUAAUGAGUUGGUGGUGGGGGUGAAGUGUAGUAGUAUGGUGGGGAAGAAGACUUCUUUGGUGGUGGUGGAGACUUGUAGUAGUAUGAAGUUGGAGGCGACUUCACUGGUGGUGGUGGGGAACUGUAGUAAUAUGGCGGAGGAGGUGAUUUCUUGGGUGGUGGUGGGGAGCUGUAAUAAUAUGGAGGAGUUGGUGACUUAACAGGUGGUGGUGGAGAAGUGUAGUGAUAUGGUGGGGGAGGUGAUUUCUUGGGUGGUGGUGGAGAGUUAUAAUAGUAUGGAGGAGGCAGUGACUUAACAGGUGGUGAUGGAGAAGUGUAGUGAUAUGGUGAGGGAGGUGAUUUCUUGAGUGGUGGUGGAGAGUUGUAGUAGUAUGGAGGUGGCGGUGACUUAACAGGUGGUGGUGGCGAGGAGUAGUAGUAUGGUGGAGGGGGAGACUUUAUUGGUGGUGGUGGAGAGCUAUAGUAGUAUGGGGGAGGAGGUGAUUUAGUAGGUGGUGGUGGAGACUUGUAAUAGUAGGGUGGGGGUGGUGAUGGGGAUGGUGGAGGAGGAGACUUGUAGUAAUAAGGUGGGGGAGGAGACGGUGAAGGGGGUGGUGGAGAUUUGUAGUAGUAUGGUGGUGGUGGUGAAGGAGAAGGUGGCGGUGGAGAUUUAUAGUAGUAUGGUGGUGGUGGUGAUGGUGAAGGAGGAGGUGGAGAUUUGUAGUAAUAUGGAGGUGGUGGUGAGGGUGAGGGUGGAGGAGGAGACUUGUAGUAAUAUGGUGGAGGUGGAGACGGUGACGGAGGAGGUGGAGACUUAUACACAUAAGGUGGUGGUGGAGAUGGCGAUGGAGGUGGUGGAGACUUAUACACAUAUGGAGGAGGUGGAG
Molecule: long non-coding RNA, 2503 nt
Filed under: Capsicum annuum
Lineage: Eukaryota; Viridiplantae; Streptophyta; Magnoliopsida; Solanales; Solanaceae
Description: long non-coding RNA (CANN_LNC018309)
Source: RNAcentral